GUGGUAAUGCCGGAUGCUCCAUCACACUGCAUGGUGUGUUGGGAAAGCCUUUGCGGCAUGGGAUGGGGUCGCGUCCUAUCAGCUUGAUGGCGGGGUAACGGCCCACCAUGGCUUCGACGGGUAGCCGGCCUGAGAGGGCGACCGGCCACAUUGGGACUGAGAUACGGCCCAGACUCCUACGGGAGGCAGCAGUGGGGAAUAUUGCACAAUGGGCGCAAGCCUGAUGCAGCGACGCCGCGUGAGGGAUGGAGGCCUUCGGGUUGUAAACCUCUUUUGUUAGGGAGCAAGGCAUUUUGUGUUGAGUGUACCUUUCGAAUAAGCACCGGCUAACUACGUGCCAGCAGCCGCGGUAAUACGUAGGGUGCAAGCGUUAUCCGGAAUUAUUGGGCGUAAAGGGCUCGUAGGCGGUUCGUCGCGUCCGGUGUGAAAGUCCAUCGCUUAACGGUGGAUCCGCGCCGGGUACGGGCGGGCUUGAGUGCGGUAGGGGAGACUGGAAUUCCCGGUGUAACGGUGGAAUGUGUAGAUA
This 526-nucleotide ribosomal RNA is filed under the name Bifidobacterium breve. RNAcentral's name for it is "bacterial SSU rRNA". It matches the Rfam family "Bacterial small subunit ribosomal RNA", at positions 160 to 696 of the family's 1533-position model. Lineage: Bacteria; Bacillati; Actinomycetota; Actinomycetes; Bifidobacteriales; Bifidobacteriaceae. The record is from RNAcentral.